This 2548-nucleotide long non-coding RNA is filed under the name Schizosaccharomyces pombe (fission yeast). Lineage: Eukaryota; Fungi; Ascomycota; Schizosaccharomycetes; Schizosaccharomycetales; Schizosaccharomycetaceae. The record is from RNAcentral.
UGAAUUGACAAAUAUAUGUCUUCAAUAUUGAUCGUUAAAGAUUUGUUCCGAAGAUUCGACCAUGGAAUUUCCAGCGUAAACGUGCCAAUUAAACCACUAGUGAUUUCAAUGGGAAUUCCGAGUUUAUCUAAGGCCUAUAAAACAAUUGUCAGUGAAACUGCAAUCAAUCGUUCAUUUUUAGUUACCUCAGGUUUUAUUCGUAAAUUAUGCAAACUAACAUGGCCACCCCAAACGCCGAUGUUUAGUUGUUUAGUAUCCAAGUUGUCAACAUACGAACCUAAAAUUUUGUUCAAGAGGCCUAAUUAUUUUAUUAAUAUCAAUGUCUUUCAAAAAAAGGUAUAAUUCAUACCGGCAACUAGGCCUUCUAACAUGUUUGUUGGCUCUUUGACACUGAAAUUAGGUAAAAGGCAGUUGGCAUCCGACUUGGUGAAAGUUAGCAAUGCAAUUGCGAAUAGAGGAAUGUUUUGUUGAAAAAGAAAAUCUUUUUAUUCCAUUUAUACAUUUAACAAAAUUAUUCAAUAUAAAAAGAAAACGAUUAUGAGAAGAGGAAACUUCAUUUCCGUAUAACGCACCUUUUUAUCAUCAAACGGAUUGAGUCUAAGUGAAAGGAGUAUUACUUUACUUAUUUGAACAAACUAAAUCUUUUUUUUUUAUUAAAUCAGUUAAAUUAAAAUCCUUCAAAUGUACAUAGGACUUGUUUACGGCGCUAAGUGCCACACCAUUGAAUGCGUCAACAAGUCAGCUUUAUCGAACGAUAAGUAGGAUACUUUGCUUAACUAGUUUUGAUUGCGAAGCACAUGAUUAUUAUCAAAUUUAAACAUACUUAAUUGUUCAUAAGCAAAUUUAUUAUAAGGCAAAAUGAGUAAGACGGAUAGCUGUUACAAACUUAAAGAAUCGCUGUAAAAUUAAUUCAUUAGUUAAGUCAGAAACAAAUACUGAAUUAAAAAUAUUAACCGAAUAUGUAAAUUCUAAAGAAAAUGAAACAAACGAAGAGCGAAUGUGUUAUAUUAUCGCUUAGAAAAAAAAAAAAAAAAAAAGAAAAUACAUUAGAAUAGAUAACGAAAGGCAAGAGUUUUAACUAGGCUCUGAAAAAAAAAAAACACUCUUGACACCGUACCAAAAAGGAAAUUGUGUGUCAAAAUUGAAGUAAAACGUGAAGGAAAUUAGGAAUUAUCGCGGGGAAUGAGGAUGCUUGAAAUUAGUCUUGAUUUUCACUGAGGCAUCCCAUUUCUAAAAGGUCGUUGCGGAUGUCAUCAAAAGAAGCUGUUUCGAUAAUAGGUGCUGUCGGAAACCCAGCAAAACUAUUAAGCUCACACAAAACUGCAGCUUCAUAUUCAAUUCGUUGCUUCUGUAACAAGGCACUUUGGCGAUAUGACAUGGUUUUUUGAGUAAUAUAUGUGGGAUCGUGAACAGAUUUUUGUUUGUUUAAAAGCUGAAAGCACUUCGUUGCAAUUUUGGUUAGAAGCGCUUGUCGUAUUCUUCUUUUAUCAAACAGUAACUGAUACUUCCUCUGUUUCGUUACAUAGUCCAUUACGUUUUUUAUAUUCCCAAGUUGUUUCAUGAGGUUUUCAGUAGCUAAACGCACACGAUCAUCUCGCCGCUCUGUUAUAAGAUCAAUGCAGGCAUUAAAACGCUCAUGGGUUUCGUUUUGUAUCAUUUCCUCAUGCUCGUUCAGCUUUAACAGUUUCUUCCCAUAUAAACGGUUUCGUAAAAAAGUAAACUCCGUUUCUAUAUUUAGCAAAGCAUCAAACGCUUCUUUCCGUUUUAUAGCCUUUUCAUCGUCAGCUUCAUGAGCCUGUUCAGAUGCGGAACGACGAUCUGCAAUCUCACGAUCGGAUUCCUCUUGGCUGGUCUCAAGAGCUACCCUUUUUAUUUUGCUCUCACUGUUAGUAGACCAUUUUCGAGAAACUGUUGCACGUUUACGCUUUCGACUUCCAACGCCACUUCGAGGACCACCUUUUCUGGGUGCUUCUAAAGUUCCACCUCUUUGUGGUAUCUGGUGGUCAGAAUCUUCGGUUCUUUCAAUAUUCGACUCUUCGUCUUCUUCCUCCUCAUGCUCAGAAGACUCCUCAAGUUUCGAGUUGUGGUUAGUCUCUAUGAGUCCAUUGUUGUCAUUGGUAGCUUUUUCUUCAGACUCAAAGUCAGAUUCCUUCAAUGAAGGACUAACAAUGGUUAUAUUUGCUGUGUUUUCCAUCUGAGGUUCCACAGAGUUGUUUACCAGUAUGGUUCUGCCAAUUGCACUUGAGUCACCUAAGUCCUCAGUGACUGAUACCGAACCAACUAAAGAUGUUUCUUUCUCUUCAUCUUCAUUUAAGACUACAGUUUCUGCCUCAGAUACAUUAUCAUGAUCUGUUACCUCUAAUUUAGGAAGUGACGCUAACUGAUGAGUUGUGAGGGACGUGGAACUGUUCAGUUUGUUCACUGGCGAGUUUUUUUCAAUGAUUUCAGAAUUUUGAGAAGGCAAUUGAGGUGCGAUAAUAUCCUCAUUAGCAUUGGUCUCUGGAUUAGAUAGAGCCGAAUCAACAACCUGCUCACUUUCAGCGAUCGA